This 275-nucleotide ribosomal RNA is filed under the name uncultured Eubacteriales bacterium. Its description in RNAcentral is "uncultured Clostridiales bacterium partial 16S ribosomal RNA". It matches the Rfam family "Bacterial small subunit ribosomal RNA", at positions 58 to 339 of the family's 1533-position model. The record is from RNAcentral. Lineage: Bacteria; Bacillati; Bacillota; Clostridia; Eubacteriales.
AAGACUUCGGUCAAGUUGAACGGAUGACUUAGUGGCGGACGGGUGAGUAACGCGUGGGUAACCUGCCUUAUACAGGGGGAUAACAGUUGGAAACGACUGCUAAUACCGCAUAAGCGCACAGCUUCGCAUGAAGCAGUGUGAAAAACUCCGGUGGUAUAAGAUGGACCCGCGUCUGAUUAGCUGGUUGGUGAGGUAACGGCCCACCAAGGCGACGAUCAGUAGCCGGCCUGAGAGGGUGAACGGCCACAUUGGGACUGAGAUACGGCCCAGACUCC